RNA transcript from Vollenhovia emeryi, 1482 nucleotides. It is a transcript of the gene named odorant receptor 4-like, with no coding region annotated. NCBI's taxonomy places the organism in Eukaryota, Metazoa, Arthropoda, Insecta, Hymenoptera, Formicidae. The transcript has 7 exons. The record is from RefSeq and is a predicted model, not a curated record.
GUGUCUUGCGAUUACCAUUGUACCUGUGGUUUAUGUCGCCUGUUUCGUUGUAUUUCUGACACUCGCGCAACACGCUUGCGGAAUGUGCAAGUUGCUGGGGUAAGGAAUUAUUCCUAGCGCGAUUUAAUAUUAUUUGCAAAACAGCAGACGUCUCUUACAAUUGGUUUACUUGAAAGCAGAGCAUCUAUCAACCCUCGACUGUUAUAUCACGUCUCAUUUGUUAUUUAAAACAAAUAGUAUUCCUCUCAUGUCUUUAUAUUUGUGUUUUGUUAAUUCUUUUCUACAUUUUUUUUCAUACGAAUAAUAAACAGUUAUUUCAUCUUUUUCUUUGCUCAUUGCGCAAAUAUCAUUAGAUCCAAAACUAAUUGCAUGAUAACAAUAAUUGGCGAUAAUUUCGGCAGGUAUCGCGCGGAACGCUUAUUUUGUGUUAUCGAAGACAAGGCAACACGUGAUUUAAUGAUAAUACAUAAGUCACAAAUAAAUUACAGAAACAUAGCCGUUUUUGUACGGCAGCAUUACAACCUUAUACAAUUCGUUGGUAUAAUCGAAACUUGUCACACGGUACCGUUUCUGUUGGAAAUCGUAGGAGUAGUGAUAUUAUUGAGCAUUACGAUAAUUCAGGUAUUAACUAUUUCCAGUUUCGAACUAGCUGUCAGAUCUAUCGGUGUCUCCAUAGCAGCACUGAUUUAUGUAUUUAUAUCUUGUUUUAUGGGACAAAAGAUUACGGAUCUGAGUUCGGGUAUAUGUGAGAAAUUAUUCAACUCUACAUGGUACAAUGCAGUUGUUUCGGAGCAAAAAGCAGUGUUAAUAAUAAUGAUGCGACGCUGUCACCCGGUUAUCUUGACUGCUUAUAAAUUUUACGUGAUGUCUUUGCAAAAUUUCGAAAUGAUACUUCAAGCAGUGGUCUCCUAUUGCAUGUUUCUCAAUCAACUUUGAAAACGUAUUUCUGUCAAGUAGUAAACGUAGAAAUAGCGUAGAAAAUUCGUGGAAAUGUUAGACCUGUGCAGAUCUUUUUACGUUAUCGAAAAGUCUUCUGCGUAAAAACGCGUCUGCUGGUGCGGUUUACAGAACAGCAGAAUAUUUCUGGGAGUAUUCGAGACGGUGACAUUAAUUUUAUUAACUUUUUAUUUUAAAACAAAAAUAUCUAACAGAUAGUCACACAGAUAUCUGUCUGAUAGUUCCAUCAUUUUCGAAAUUUUUUAACUCUUGACGAUUUCAAGAUGUCAUAAUAAUCUCUGAGAAUGUUUAUCCCUUUACUCUUAUCAAGGAUCAAUAAUAUGUUUCCAGCUGUCGAGUAUUUUCACAUCUAGCUUCAUCGCGAACUUCAUAGUCGAUGCGAUACCAACACUUGUACCUACAUUAGGUAGCUUGAGCCAUGUAUGAACGCGUCAGACAUGUAGACAAACUUUGGGAUCUGUUUAAACGUAUGUGGAAGUUGCAAAAGAUUGCAAGAUCGAAAUUAUGUCCGAACACGCCGAGACC